CAGAAAUCGCUCCCGAGUGCCCCGCCGAUCGAAUCCCCCCCGGAAACCGCAGCCUGUGCGCGCCGGGUUCCGGGCGGGGGCUCCCUGGGCGCCCGGGCUUCCGGCGCUGAGCUCGCUGCCGCCCCAGCGCGGUAUGGAGGCGAAGGAGGCAUCCACUCCAGCUACCGGCGGCGGGUGCCUGGUGUCAGCGGAGGAGAUCGGAAAGUGGAUGGAGGAGGCCAUGCAAAUGGCCAAAGAAGCCCUAGAAAAUACUGAAGUUCCUGUUGGCUGCCUUAUGGUCUACAACAAUGAAGUUGUGGGGAAAGGAAGGAAUGAAGUUAACCAAACCAAAAAUGCUACUCGACAUGCAGAAAUGGUGGCCAUCGACCAGGCCCUAGCCUGGUGCCGGGGGAGCGGCCGGAGCCCCGCGGCGGUGUUCGAGCGCACGGUGCUGUACGUCACGGUGGAGCCGUGCAUCAUGUGCGCGGCUGCCCUCCGCCUCAUGAAAAUCCCGCUGGUUGUGUAUGGCUGUCAGAAUGAACGUUUUGGCGGUUGUGGCUCUGUUCUAGAUAUUGCCUCUGCUGAUUUACCAAAUACUGGGAGACCGUUUCAGGUACCAAGAUAGCACAAAGUGAACACUUAAAAAAUCCUCUAUAUGCAUUCCGGGGUAUCGGGCUGAGGAAGCAGUGGAAAUGUUAAAGGACUUCUACAAACAAGAAAAUCCAAACGCACCAAAAUCAAAGGUUCGGAAAAAGGAGUGUCAGAGAUCCUGAGUUUGUUCUAACGAAGGACUAAUGCCCCUGGAUGAAAUUCUUGCCUGAGUGCUGGUGACAUCAUUGAAUCAGAUGUUAUAUAUCGUCCUUAACCUGUGGGAAAAAUGGUCUUUCAUCAUUUCCUCUGUUAAAGGAACAAAUGAACACUUUGACAAAGUCUGACAAUUGCAAUAAACUAUUAAUUAGUUUUUCCACAAGCUGGAAAGUUACAGAUUGAGGUUUUAGAAAUGAGUAAGCAGGAAAAUGCACUUCUUGCCAAAAGCAUCACCAGUUCAGGACAGUGCUGUCAGAGCAGGUACCUGCAGGUGCAGUUACCUGGCGUGUCUGCACCGGGCUGUGCUGCUGCGGACCCCUGCUCCACGCCUGGCGUUGCAGAAUUGCAUUCUUCAUUCUUUGCAGCCACCAUGUUCUCUCAGAGUGUUGGGGGCCUGUGACUUUCUUGGAAAUUGUCUACGUUGCAUACCUGUAGACCAUGAUUAUAUGGUCUUUUGAACAGAUUUUUGCCUUUAUAAAGCAUUUAGAAAAAAUGCAUAUUCUAAAACAAGUGCUUAAGUGUCAUUUUAAAUUGCAACAUAUUGCUAAAAUAAAACCGUAUUUGUGCCUUUUUUGAAGAUGGAUAAUGUUAAAAAUAGAAGAUAAAAGCAUAAAGGGGACAAUUCCUUCUUUGUUAUUGAGCAACUGUAUUGGGAAUCAGUGAACAAAACAAAGCAUCCUGCCCUCAUGGAGCUUAUGUUCUAGCAGGGGAGACAGAUACUAAGCGGAAUAGAUUAUACAGCAUGUGACAGGGUGGUCCGGAUUAGGCAAAACGAAUGGGCAUGCCAUUGGUGGUGGGAAUGCUGGUUGCACAAUUAAAUAGAAUGGUUACUUUGAUCUGAAAUCGAAUACAGUUCUUUCUUUUUAUAAAAAUCCAGAUUUAGAAUUUAAAGUCUGACAUUGUUCAGUGUGAACGCAGCCCUGGGAAGGAUAUCCACAGCUGGCACUCCCAGAUAUUCGCGCUGACCAGUGCGGUGCUGCAGAGCUGGGCUGCAGUGCUCCGCGUCUGCCCAGAAGGGGGCCUCCGCGUUCUACCGGAAGCCCCGCUCCAGGCCCUGGACAGCAGCUCCUCAGUUGCAUUUCUUCAGUGGAUUCAUUUCCUUGAUACAAAGCAUCUGUAUUGUUGGUUCUGCCAUUUGAGCGAUGUCUCUGACUUGUUUGUUUUGAAUUACAUUACAGGCUGGAAAGUAAUUGUGAAAGUCUUUUUAUGUUGCUGAGAGUAGCAGCUAAUCACAGUGACAUGCUGCAGAGGAUUUAUAAUUGCUCUAUGUUGUAAGUGUGCGUUUUUAACUGCAUUUGAGUUUUAUGGAGAAGAAUAAGCAUGAUUUUAAAUCUAUGUUACAUGUAACUUCUCUUCAAUUUCCCCUUCUUUUAAGAUUAUCCUCUCGUUAAA
This is an RNA transcript of Myotis daubentonii (Daubenton's bat), 2178 nucleotides long. It is a transcript of the gene named adenosine deaminase tRNA specific 2, with no coding region annotated. NCBI's taxonomy places the organism in Eukaryota, Metazoa, Chordata, Mammalia, Chiroptera, Vespertilionidae. The record is from RefSeq and is a predicted model, not a curated record.